CUGCUGCUGCAUGGUUUUAUAUCUGUGGGGCAAAAGGCUUCAUUAGCACACACAUCUUGUGGUAAAUGUGCCACUAAAAGUUCUGUCUCUCCUUCAGGAGAGUACCAGGCUCCUCUCAGCAAGACUCUGGACAAGACCCUUCAGUUCUGCUCACCACUGCCACAGUGAUUUCAUUUGCACUGUGAGGGAGAACAUGUCCUGCAGUUCUGGUCAAGCUCCACAUCUGCACUCUGCCAUAGUUCUGUGCAGGUCUUCGUUGCAUUGGAAGAGGAGGCUGUAGUGUGAGAUGAAAACCCGGAGGCGCUGCACACACACCAGCAGCAGGUGCCUAUCAGCCAUGGCAACCUCCAAGAAACACAGCAAGUGGAUUGGCAGGAGAGUCCUAUCAGGUUAAGCAUAACAGGAAGAG
Long non-coding RNA from Ficedula albicollis (Collared flycatcher), 409 nucleotides. RefSeq lists it as uncharacterized. Lineage: Eukaryota; Metazoa; Chordata; Aves; Passeriformes; Muscicapidae. The record is from RefSeq and is a predicted model, not a curated record. The transcript has 3 exons.